GAUGAACGCUGGCGGCGUGCCUAAUACAUGCAAGUCGAGCGAACGGACGAGAAGCUUGCUUCUCUGAUGUUAGCGGCGGACGGGUGAGUAACACGUGGAUAACCUACCUAUAAGACUGGGAUAACUUCGGGAAACCGUAGCUAAUACCGGAUAAUAUUUUGAACCGCAUGGUUCAAAAGUGAAAGACGGUCUUGCUGUCACUUAUAGAUGGAUCCGCGCUGCAUUAGCUAGUUGGUAAGGUAACGGCUUACCAAGGCAACGAUGCAUAGCCGACCUGAGAGGGUGAUCGGCCACACUGGAACUGAGACACGGUCCAGACUCCUACGGGAGGCAGCAGUAGGGAAUCUUCCGCAAUGGGCGAAAGCCUGACGGAGCAACGCCGCGUGAGUGAUGAAGGUCUUGGGAUCGUAAAACUCUGUUAUUAGGGAAGAACAUAUGUGUAAGUAACUGUGCACAUCUUGACGGUACCUAAUCAGAAAGCCACGGCUAACUACGUG
RNAcentral lists this ribosomal RNA (497 nucleotides) under uncultured bacterium. Its description in RNAcentral is "partial 16S ribosomal RNA". It matches the Rfam family "Bacterial small subunit ribosomal RNA", at positions 28 to 507 of the family's 1533-position model. The record is from RNAcentral.